GUGCACCAGGCGCGAAUACUUUACAAUGUGCGAAAGCACGAUAAGGGAACUCUGAGUGCCUCCUAAGGAGGCUGUUCUGAUGUCUAAAAAUCAACAGAAGUAAGGGCUGGGUAAGACCGGUGCCAGCCGCCGCGGUAACACCGGCAGCCCAAGUGGUAGCCACGUUUAUUGGGUCUAAAGCGUUCGUAGCCGGCCAGGUAAGUUCCUUGGUAAAUUUAGCCGCUUAACGGUUAAGCUUUCAGGGAAUACUGCUUGGCUUGGGACUGGGAGAGGUCAGAGGUACUCCGGGGGUAGGGGUGAAAUCUAUUAAUCCCUGGGGGACCACCGGUAGCGAAGGCGUCUGACCAGACCAGGUCCGACGGUGAGGGACGAAGGCUAGGGGCGCGAACCGGAUUAGAUACCCCCGUAGU
Molecule: ribosomal RNA, 410 nt
Filed under: uncultured microorganism
Description: bacterial SSU rRNA
Rfam family: Archaeal small subunit ribosomal RNA
Source: RNAcentral